CUGGCAAAUAUUUUCCAACUUUCAGCCUAAUAUCAGGCACAAUAUAUAAUGGAAAUCGUAGUGUGAAUAUAGACAUCAUUUUGGUACUUCAAAGUUGAGACAGCUUAUGUUCACAUCGUUAUCGAAGGUAUGAAUAUAUACACACACACUGUAUGAUCAAACAAACCACAGAACCAUUUGCGUUUGUGACGUUUUAGUUCCUCUCAAAUACUACCACUUGUUUAACUAGUACGAAAACCUCUUGUCUGCUUCAUGUGACAGUUUAAUAUCAGUCUCAGAUGAAUAUGCAUUUUUAUAGCAGAAAUAGAGGCACAGAACGAUUGCUGUUUGUAUAGCUUAAUUGUUACAUGUUUAAAAAUUAUAAUAAUAAAAUAAGCAGUUCUUGCUGGGCUCAUAGGACACCAGGAAAUAAUAAAAACGAAUCUAAGAUCCUAUGCAAUAUUAAAAUUUUGGUUAUGUCAAUAAUUUGUGCCACUGCAGCCAACUGCUGGAGCACAGCUACUUGAAUUUUCCACAAGAAUGGAUGCCACUGACCACCAAGAAUGGAUGCCACAAAUGGAACAUUUAAAAUAUAUUCAACAUAACUAUAAAAUUAUUUUCAGUUAAAUCUAGCAUUAGUGUUACACUGUAAAUCAUCCAUAAUUAUCACAGGUGUACAGAGAGUACACUUUUCAACCCCCUCCCACAGCGACUUAACCGAUGAAUAUUGGUUAUGAACCCGCCUACCUGAAGCAUAUAGUUUGUACACUUCAGGAAAUGUUGGUAGUUUUGGACAACCCAUAAUUGAAUUUCAUUAGCCUUUACAUCAUUGUGAAUUACCAUUUGCAUGCAUGUAACACUAACAGCAUGAUCUUUAUUCCAUACCAUAUAGGAAAAAUUGAACACACCUGUCCUGCAGAGCUAGUACAAAUUUACAUUAGCAACUAUUGAAUCAGUGAGGGAGGUAUAAUAAAGCAAGUGUUUAAAUAAAUGCAGCCAAAUCAAAAUUGUUUGUCUCCACACUACACUUCCUCAUCAAUGGACAGCUCAAUGAGAACAAAUGUUGUGGACAACUGUGGGUUGGACAUUGCAGGCUGGCUGCACAUUUUGCAAUGAUGUACAUGCAGGAGAUCGGUUGUUGAAGCAUGAAUGAAAUCGAUUUCAAAAAAGCUCCAAGGCUUACUUUAUGAGAAUGGGUCAUUCCAGAAAACAUCCAUACCACCCCCACAGAGGAAAUAGGAAGUUAACCCCCUUCAGAUGUCCUAAUACAUUUACUAUUAUCAGAAACAAUUUUUUCUCCCCUCCCCCUCCAGACGGCAGAAAUUUCCUCCAUGGGGGGAGUAUGGAUCUUUUCUGGAACGACCCAAUUCAUUUUCCAUAUGAGUGAGAGUUCCUAUCAGCCGCAUGUGAGGAUGCAUAUUACCACCUCUUUUCUUUACCCUUGCACAGUACAGAGAAGGAAAAACAAAGACCAGAUUUUGAACCAAGUAACUUUGUUAUUUAACUUAAAACAGCACUGUAUAUAACUUUAAAUACUGUAAAAAAUGAAAUAUCAGCUAAAUACUAAUUCAGUAAGAAUUGUCUUGGUAUGGAAAUAUCUUGUUCUGUUGUAUAUGCAUUGUUGAAUUGCCAUGUCACUUUCUUGAGUAUUACCAGAAUAUUAAGUAUAGUUGAGCCAGCUUCCUAAUAUUAUGGAAUCUAGGAUAGUUGUUGACUUUGCGGUUUUCUUAAUAAUCUCAUAUUAGCAACAUUCCUAGAUGCGAAGACUAACAGCAUUCCCAUCCCCAUUAAGUUGUACAUAUACAGUUGCAGUCUUCUUGACAGUUCUUGUUUUAUCCAUAUUGAAAUUUGAGAAGCACGAAUAUCUAA
This 1848-nucleotide long non-coding RNA is filed under the name Paramuricea clavata. The record is from RNAcentral. Lineage: Eukaryota; Metazoa; Cnidaria; Anthozoa; Malacalcyonacea; Plexauridae.